CCAAGGGGAAGAAUAAUUGUGUUCUGAGGCCAUAUGAUCUUUUCGGAAUUGCUUUACAGAUUUCAGGCGAUCGACGCUGAAUCCGCACAACGAGCAUUCUUACUUAAAACAAGACGAUAGCUCCUUUGGGAAUUAAUUUCGAAAGUAAAUAAAAAUACCUGCAUUCCAUUGUUUCACCGAUAGCAUGACAAUUUCCUGUAUUUGGUCUGUUUUGGAUACAAAAUUAAUGAAAACUCAUGGCUUACGUAAAUUAUUAGAGGAGUAUCCGAUGGACUUUGGUUACUAUUAUUUAUUCAAACCUGCAAA
This 306-nucleotide long non-coding RNA is filed under the name Mytilus galloprovincialis (Mediterranean mussel). The record is from RNAcentral. Lineage: Eukaryota; Metazoa; Mollusca; Bivalvia; Mytilida; Mytilidae.